RNAcentral lists this ribosomal RNA (500 nucleotides) under uncultured bacterium. Its description in RNAcentral is "bacterial SSU rRNA". It matches the Rfam family "Bacterial small subunit ribosomal RNA", at positions 8 to 507 of the family's 1533-position model. The record is from RNAcentral.
AGAGUUUGAUCCUGGCUCAGGAUUAACGCUGGCGGUAUGCCUAACACAUGCAAGUCGAACGGAAUACUCGAAAAGAGAAUCUCACACUAGUGAGAGGUUCUCCAACCGAGUAUUUAGUGGCGGACGGGUGAGUAACACGUUGGAACCUGCCCCGAAGUGGGGAAUAACUGCUCGAAAGAGUAGCUAAUACCCCAUAGUAUCCGGUUUAUCCGGAUUAAAGAUUUAUCGCUGCGGGAGGGGCCUGCGUCUGAUUAGCUUGUUGGUGGGGUAAAAGCUCACCAAGGCGACGAUCAGUAGCUGGUUCGAGAGGGUGACCAGCCACACUGGGACUGAGAUACGGCCCAGACUCCUACGGGAGGCAGCAGUGAGGAAUCUUCCACAAUGGACGAAAGUCUGAUGGAGCAAUACCGCGUGCAGGACGACGCUUUUCGGAGUGUAAACUGCUUUUGUCGUCGAAGAUUAUGACUGUAGACGAAGAAUAAGGACCGGCUAACUACGUG